GACGAACCGUGCGAACGUUGUUCGGAAUCACUGGGCUUAAAGGGCGCGUAGGCGGGUCGAAAAGUCCGUGGUGAAAUCCCCCCGCUCAACGGGGGAACGGCCGCGGAUACUGUCGGCCUCGAGGGGGGUAGGGGCGAGCGGAACGCUGGGUGGAGCGGUGAAAUGCGUUGAUAUCCAGCGGAACUCCGGUGGCGAAGGCGGCUCGCUGGGCCCUCUCUGACGCUGAGGUGCGAAAGCGUGGGGAGCAAACAGG
RNAcentral lists this ribosomal RNA (253 nucleotides) under uncultured bacterium. RNAcentral's name for it is "partial 16S ribosomal RNA". It matches the Rfam family "Bacterial small subunit ribosomal RNA", at positions 524 to 776 of the family's 1533-position model. The record is from RNAcentral.